RNAcentral lists this ribosomal RNA (388 nucleotides) under uncultured bacterium. Its description in RNAcentral is "bacterial SSU rRNA". It matches the Rfam family "Bacterial small subunit ribosomal RNA", at positions 29 to 414 of the family's 1533-position model. The record is from RNAcentral.
AUUGAACGCUGGCGGCAUGCCUAACACAUGCAAGUCGAACGGUAACAGGCCCUUCGGGUGCUGACGAGUGGCGGAUGGGUGAGUAAUACUUAGGAAUCUACCCUGUAGUGGGGGACGAACCCGGGGAAACUACGGGCUAAUACCGCCAUACGCUCUACGGAGGAAAGCGGGGGACCGGCGAAGGCCUCGCGCUAUUGGAUGAGCCUAAGCCCGAUUAGCUAGUUGGUGGGGUAAUAGCCUACCAAGGCAAUGAUCGGUAGCUGGUCUGAGAGGACGACCAGCCACACUGGGACUGAGACACGGCCCAGACUCCUACGGGAGGCAGGCAGUGGGGAUAUUGGACAAUGGGCGAAAGCCUGAUCCAGCGAUGCCGCGUGUGUGAAGAAGG